UAAUUUUGUACUGUUUCGCUUUCUAUAUAAUUUCAAGUACUCUGUUUGUAGUCAUUUUAAUUUUUAUUAAUUAGCUCGCAAAAUACUCAACAAGAAAGAUAGUUGAGUGUUUACAUAUAAGAGCAUUACGAUUUUAAUAAAGAUAGUGUAUAUUUGGUGUUUGAUAUAUAUAUUUUUUAAUAUAUUUUUCGUGUAUGAUUCGAAAAG
Non-coding RNA from Schizosaccharomyces pombe (fission yeast), 207 nucleotides. Lineage: Eukaryota; Fungi; Ascomycota; Schizosaccharomycetes; Schizosaccharomycetales; Schizosaccharomycetaceae. The record is from the annotation of a GenBank genome assembly.